RNAcentral lists this ribosomal RNA (278 nucleotides) under uncultured bacterium. RNAcentral describes it as "partial 16S ribosomal RNA". It matches the Rfam family "Bacterial small subunit ribosomal RNA", at positions 76 to 350 of the family's 1533-position model. The record is from RNAcentral.
CUUGCUAAGUUUGAUGGCGACCGGCGCACGGGUGAGUAACACGUAUCCAACCUGCCGAUGACUCGGGGAUAGCCUUUCGAAAGAAAGAUUAAUACCCGAUGGCAUAGUUCUUCCGCAUGGUGGAACUAUUAAAGAAUUUCGGUCAUCGAUGGGGAUGCGUUCCAUUAGGUUGUUGGCGGGGUAACGGCCCACCAAGCCUUCGAUGGAUAGGGGUUCUGAGAGGAAGGUCCCCCACAUUGGAACUGAGACACGGUCCAAACUCCUACGGGAGGCACAUG